RNAcentral lists this ribosomal RNA (254 nucleotides) under uncultured bacterium. RNAcentral describes it as "partial 16S ribosomal RNA". It matches the Rfam family "Bacterial small subunit ribosomal RNA", at positions 524 to 776 of the family's 1533-position model. The record is from RNAcentral.
CACGUAGGCACCAAGCGUUGUCCGGAUUUAUUGGGCGUAAAGCGCUCGUAGGCGGUUCGGUAAGUCGGGUGUGAAACCUCCAGGCUCAACCUGGAGACGCCACCCGAUACUGCUGUGACUAGAGUCCGGUAGGGGAGCGUGGAAUUCCGGGUGUAGCGGUGAAAUGCGCAGAUAUCAGGAGGAACACCAGCGGCGAAGGCGGCGCUCUGGGCCGGAACUGACGCUGAGGAGCGAAAGCGUGGGGAGCAAACAGG